GGGGAAGAUAUAAAGUGGCGCACGGGUGAGUAACACGUAGGUAAUCUACCUUUGAGUGGGGAAUAACAAUCGGAAACGAUUGCUAAUACCGCAUAAUGCAGCGGCACCUUAUGGUGACAGUUGUUAAAGGAGCAAUCCGCUUAAAGAGGAGCCUGCGGCAGAUUAGCUUGUUGGUAAGGUAAUGGCUUACCAAGGCUACGAUCUGUAACCGACCUGAGAGGGUGGUCGGUCACACUGACACUGAAUAACGGGUCAGACUCCUACGGGAGGCAGCAGUCGGGAAUUUUGGGCAAUGGGCGAAAGCCUGACCCAGCAACGCCGCGUGAAGGAUGAAGUCUUUCGGGAUGUAAACUUCGUAAGAAUGGGAAGAAUAAAUGACGGUACCAUUUGUAAGGUCCGGCUAACUACGUGCCAGCAGCCGCGGUAAUACGUAGGGACCAAGCGUUGUUCGGAUUUACUGGGCGUAAAGGGCGCGUAGGCGGCGAAUCAAGUCAGCUGUGAAAUCUCCGAGCUUAACUCGGAACGGUCAGCUGAUACUGUUUUGCUAGAGUGCAGAAAGGGCAACCGGAAUUCUUGGGUGUAGCGGUGAAAUGCGUAGAUAUCAAGAGGAACACCUGAGGCGAAGGCGGGUUGCUAGGCUGACACUGACGCUGAAGCGCGAAAGCUAGGGUAGCAAACGGGAUUAGAUACCCCGGUAGUCCUAGCCCUAACGAUGUAUGCUUUGGUGUCUGGAGUUUUUAUCUUCUGGGUGCCGUCGCUAACGCUUU
Molecule: ribosomal RNA, 767 nt
Filed under: uncultured bacterium
Lineage: Bacteria
Description: bacterial SSU rRNA
Rfam family: Bacterial small subunit ribosomal RNA
Source: RNAcentral